UGAGGAAUAUUGGGCAAUGCCCGAAAGGGUGACCCAGCAACGCCGCGUGGAGGAUGAAGGUCGUAAGAUUGUAAACUCCUGUUAGAGGGGAAGAAUAACUAAGUUUGGAGCUUAGUAUGACUGUACCCUCAGAGAAAGCCCCGGCUAACUACGUGCCAGCAGCCGCGGUAAUACGUAGGGGGCAAGCGUUGUCCGGAUUUACUGGGUGUGAAGGGCGCGCAGGCGGAAUGGAAAGUCAGUGGUGAAAUCCUACAGCUUAACUGUAGAACUGCCUUUGAUACUUUCAUUCUUGAGUUCGGGAGAGAGAGACGGAAUUCCAGGUGUAGUGGUGAAAUACGUAGAUAUCUGGAAGAACACCAGUUGCGAAGGCGGUCUCUUGGUCCGAUACUGACGCUGAGGCGCGAAAGCGUGGGGAGCAAACA
Molecule: ribosomal RNA, 422 nt
Filed under: uncultured bacterium
Lineage: Bacteria
Description: bacterial SSU rRNA
Rfam family: Bacterial small subunit ribosomal RNA
Source: RNAcentral